GAUGAACGCUAGCUAUAGGCUUAACACAUGCAAGUCGAGGGGAAACGGCAUUAUGUGCUUGCCCAUUUUGGACGUCGACCGGCGCACGGGUGAGUAUCGCGUAUCCAACCUGCCCUUUACUUGGGGAUACCCCGUUGAAAGACGGCCUAAUACCCGAUGUAAUUCAUUGAUGGCAUCAGAUAUGAAUAAAAGAUUUAUCGGUAAAGGAUGGGGAUGCGUCUGAUUAGCUUGUUGGUGAGGUAACGGCUCACCAAGGCGACGAUCAGUAGGGGUUCUGAGAGGAAGGUCCCCCACAUUGGAACUGAGACACGGUCCAAACUCCUACGGGAGGCAGCAGUGAGGAAUAUUGGUCAAUGGGCGCAAGCCUGAACCAGCCAAGUAGCGUGCAGGAAGACGGCCCUAUGGGUUGUAAACUGCUUUUAUACGAGAAUAAUUUGAUGCACGUGUGCGUUAUUGCAUGUAUCGUAUGAAUAAGGACCGGCUAAUUCCGUG
Molecule: ribosomal RNA, 492 nt
Filed under: uncultured bacterium
Lineage: Bacteria
Description: partial 16S ribosomal RNA
Rfam family: Bacterial small subunit ribosomal RNA
Source: RNAcentral